Molecule: ribosomal RNA, 460 nt
Filed under: uncultured bacterium
Lineage: Bacteria
Description: partial 16S ribosomal RNA
Rfam family: Bacterial small subunit ribosomal RNA
Source: RNAcentral
CCUACGGGUGGCAGCAGUGAGGAAUAUUGGGCAAUGGGCGCGAGCCUGAACCAGCCAAGUAGCGUGAAGGAUGACUGCCCUACGGGUUGUAAACUUCUUUUAUAAAGGAAUAAAGUGAGGCACGUGUGCCUAUCUGUGUGUACUUUAUGAAUAAGGAUCGGCUAACUCCGUGCCAGCAGCCGCGGUAAUACGGAGGAUCCGAGCGUUAUCAGGAUUUAUUGGGUUGAAAGGGAGCGUAGAUGGGUUGGUAAGUCAGUAGUGAAAGGUUGCGGCUCAACCGUAAAAUUGCAAUUGAUACUGGCAGCCUUGAGUACAGGUGAGGUAGGCGGAAUUCGUGGUGUAGCGGUGAAAUGCUUAGAUAUCAGGAAGAACUCCGAUGGCGAAGGCAGCUUACUAGACUGCAACUGACAUUGAUGCUCGAAAGUGUGGGUAUCAAACAGGAUUAGAUACCCCUGUAGUC